UUAAAUUGAAGAGUUUGAUCAUGGCUCAGAUUGAACGCUGGCGGCAGGCCUAACACAUGCAAGUCGAACGGUAACAGGAAGCAGCUUGCUGCUUUGCUGACGAGUGGCGGAUGGGUGAGUAAUGUCUGGGAAACUGCCUGAUGGAGGGGGAUAACUACUGGAAAC
Molecule: ribosomal RNA, 165 nt
Filed under: Salmonella enterica
Lineage: Bacteria; Pseudomonadati; Pseudomonadota; Gammaproteobacteria; Enterobacterales; Enterobacteriaceae
Description: partial 16S ribosomal RNA
Rfam family: Bacterial small subunit ribosomal RNA
Source: RNAcentral